UAACUCGGUGGUACAGUGCUUGCCUGGAAUGCAGGAGAGCCUAGGUUCAACCCCUAG
This 57-nucleotide transfer RNA is filed under the name Ictidomys tridecemlineatus (thirteen-lined ground squirrel). RNAcentral's name for it is "Spermophilus tridecemlineatus (thirteen-lined ground squirrel) tRNA". It matches the Rfam family "tRNA", at positions 8 to 63 of the family's 71-position model. From Rfam's summary of the family: Transfer RNA (tRNA) molecules are approximately 80 nucleotides in length. Their secondary structure includes four short double-helical elements and three loops (D, anti-codon, and T loops). The record is from Rfam by way of RNAcentral. Lineage: Eukaryota; Metazoa; Chordata; Mammalia; Rodentia; Sciuridae.